This is a long non-coding RNA of Drosophila albomicans, 404 nucleotides long. RefSeq lists it as uncharacterized. The transcript has 3 exons. NCBI's taxonomy places the organism in Eukaryota, Metazoa, Arthropoda, Insecta, Diptera, Drosophilidae. The record is from RefSeq and is a predicted model, not a curated record.
GUUUCUGGAUGAAACAGAAGUGAAAGAAACUUCUCUAUUAAUUAUAUUAAGUGAAAUACAAAAAAUCCAGUUGAAUACCGCCAACAUCGAAUUGAAAUUAAAGGAACUGACUGAUGUAAAUGAGCUUAUAAAAUCUAAAGAGCAAGUUGUCGAUUACAAAGAUCAAAUAUCCAAGUUGCAUUCAACUCUAACAUCAUACAAACAUACCAUCAAUGAAAAAAAUAAAAAAAUAUCAAAGUUGGAGUCGGAAAACGAUGAGUAUAAUGUAAAUUAUAAUACGCUGAAGUAUGAAUUUGAGAAGCAAAAUAGCGAAACAGAAUGGCUGAAAAAUGAACAAAGGGAAAACCAAGAGAAGGUAGAGAAAACAUCGCUUCUAGAAAAAGAAUUAAGUAUGGAACAUUAAA